Molecule: transfer RNA, 85 nt
Filed under: Pseudomonadota bacterium
Lineage: Bacteria; Pseudomonadati; Pseudomonadota
Description: Proteobacteria bacterium (groundwater metagenome) tRNA-Leu
Rfam family: tRNA
About the family: Transfer RNA (tRNA) molecules are approximately 80 nucleotides in length.
Source: RNAcentral
GCGGCCAUGGCGGAAUUGGUAGACGCACUAGCUUGAGGUGCUAGCGGGGCAACCCGUGGAAGUUCGAGUCUUCUUGGCCGCACCA